UGCACUUUGGAACUGUUCCCAUCUCCAGAUACAAUUAGAGGAAAGCACUGACCCCAUCCCAAGUCAAGCCUUGAGCCUGCAGAUUCCUGAUGGUAGGAGUGAGGGUCCUGCCCUCAGGACCCGCUGGAGGGUAGAACAGCCAACCUGUGAGAAGCACCAAUACCCUGAGGCCAUUAUGAGGAAGUUCACACCACAGAGAGAGACCCUGAGUAGAUGUGCUGAUUUACAGUUCCAGCUGAAUGCAGCCUUUGAAUCACCCCAGCCCAGGUGCCAAACAUGUGAGAGAAGAAGCUUCCAGAUCAUUCCAGUCCCCAGCCAUCUGAGUCAACUUCAGCCUUUGUGUCUGCCCAGUGAAUGCCUCAGACAUCAUGAAGCAGAAGCAAGUCAUCCUUACUGUGCUCUGUCUGAAUUCCUGACUCACACAAUUAAUGAGCAUAAUAAAAUGAUUGUUGUUUUAUACUCCUGUGUUCUGGGGCAUUUGUUGUGCAGCAAAAAAG
RNAcentral lists this long non-coding RNA (497 nucleotides) under Homo sapiens (human). RNAcentral describes it as "HSALNT0194171". The record is from RNAcentral. Lineage: Eukaryota; Metazoa; Chordata; Mammalia; Primates; Hominidae.